Molecule: ribosomal RNA, 631 nt
Filed under: Leifsonia sp. Ri2Pt_3984
Lineage: Bacteria; Bacillati; Actinomycetota; Actinomycetes; Micrococcales; Microbacteriaceae
Description: bacterial SSU rRNA
Rfam family: Bacterial small subunit ribosomal RNA
Source: RNAcentral
CCUGAUGCAGCAACGCCGCGUGAGGGAUGACGGCCUUCGGGUUGUAAACCUCUUUUAGUAGGGAAGAAGCGAAAGUGACGGUACCUGCAGAAAAAGCACCGGCUAACUACGUGCCAGCAGCCGCGGUAAUACGUAGGGUGCAAGCGUUGUCCGGAAUUAUUGGGCGUAAAGAGCUCGUAGGCGGUUUGUCGCGUCUGCUGUGAAAACUGGAGGCUCAACCUCCAGCCUGCAGUGGGUACGGGCAGACUAGAGUGCGGUAGGGGAGAUUGGAAUUCCUGGUGUAGCGGUGGAAUGCGCAGAUAUCAGGAGGAACACCGAUGGCGAAGGCAGAUCUCUGGGCCGUAACUGACGCUGAGGAGCGAAAGCGUGGGGAGCGAACAGGAUUAGAUACCCUGGUAGUCCACGCCGUAAACGUUGGGAACUAGAUGUGGGGACCAUUCCACGGUCUCCGUGUCGCAGCUAACGCAUUAAGUUCCCCGCCUGGGGAGUACGGCCGCAAGGCUAAAACUCAAAGGAAUUGACGGGGGCCCGCACAAGCGGCGGAGCAUGCGGAUUAAUUCGAUGCAACGCGAAGAACCUUACCAAGGCUUGACAUAUACGAGAACGGGCCAGAAAUGGUCAACUCUUUGGA